GGAUGUGAGGGCGAUCUGGCUGCGACAUCUGUCACCCCAUUGAUCGCCAGGGUUGAUUUGGCUGAUCUGGCUGGCUAGGCGGGUGUCCCCUUCCUCCCUUACCGCUCCAUGUGCGUCCCUCCCGAAGCUGCGCGCUCGGUCGAAGAGGACGACCAUCCCCGCCAGAGGAGGACUGGUCUUCAGUCAAGGGUAUACGAGUAGCUGCGCUCCCCUGCUAGAACCUCCAAACAAGCUCUCAAAAUAUGUACAUAUAUUGUGGAAUGGCUAAAUUGAACUAAUUAACAUGUUUUACCUCACAUACCUAUUUUUGUGAUGAGAA
Molecule: unclassified non-coding RNA, 319 nt
Organism: Rhinopithecus bieti (black snub-nosed monkey)
Lineage: Eukaryota; Metazoa; Chordata; Mammalia; Primates; Cercopithecidae
Gene: 7SK
Rfam family: 7SK RNA
About the family: 7SK was discovered as an abundant small nuclear RNA in the mid-70s but a possible function has only recently been suggested. Two independent studies have found that 7SK RNA binds the CDK9/cyclin T complex (known as elongation factor P-TEFb). P-TEFb activates transcription by phosphorylating the C-terminal domain of RNA polymerase II.
Source: Ensembl